AAAGCUAAAGUAUUUUAACUGGAUGACGUUUUUAGGUGGGGUAAAAAUUAGAAGAAGAGAGAAUAUAGAUAGAGAAGAAGAGGAGAAGGAGAGAGCAUGGAGAAGAAGAGAUGAAAAAGACGCAGAGAGAGGAGAUGAAGAAGAAAGAGUAGAGGGAGAGAGAAGAAAAGUAUAAAUAAAAAAAUAAAAAAAUUCAUUUGCUUUCUUUUUAAAAUUUAAAAAAUUUAGUCCUAGUCUAAUUGUACACCAAACGCAGUAUUAGGCUUAUCCAACUUAUAUCAAUCCAAGACAAUCUCAGUGUUUAGUCUAGUCCAUGAUAGUUCAGCAUACCAAACGACCUCGAAGUGAGGCCUAUAUUUAUUAGAGAUGUGCUACACAAAGGAUGUGGAGUGGCCUAAUGGUUCCCUUUCCCCCUUAGAGCACUUCCACCCUAGUAUAAGUG
Molecule: long non-coding RNA, 442 nt
Filed under: Prunus persica (peach)
Lineage: Eukaryota; Viridiplantae; Streptophyta; Magnoliopsida; Rosales; Rosaceae
Description: long non-coding RNA (PPER_LNC006045)
Source: RNAcentral